RNAcentral lists this ribosomal RNA (254 nucleotides) under uncultured bacterium. RNAcentral's name for it is "partial 16S ribosomal RNA". It matches the Rfam family "Bacterial small subunit ribosomal RNA", at positions 524 to 776 of the family's 1533-position model. The record is from RNAcentral.
UACGAAGGGGGGCUAGCGUUGCUCGGAAUCACUGGGCGUAAAGGGUGCGUAGGCGGGUCUUUAAGUCAGGGGUGAAAUCCUGGAGCUCAACUCCAGAACUGCCUUUGAUACUGAAGAUCUUGAGUUCGGGAGAGGUGAGUGGAACUGCGAGUGUAGAGGUGAAAUUCGUAGAUAUUCGCAAGAACACCAGUGGCGAAGGCGGCUCACUGGCCCGAUACUGACGCUGAGGCACGAAAGCGUGGGGAGCAAACAGG